Molecule: ribosomal RNA, 468 nt
Filed under: uncultured bacterium
Lineage: Bacteria
Description: partial 16S ribosomal RNA
Rfam family: Bacterial small subunit ribosomal RNA
Source: RNAcentral
GAUGAACGCUAGCGGCAGGCUUAACACAUGCAAGUCGAACGGAAAGGCCCUGCUUUUGUGGGGUGCUCGAGUGGCGAACGGGUGAGUAACACGUGAGUAACCUGCCCUUGACUUUGGGAUAACUUCAGGAAACUGGGGCUAAUACCGGAUAGGAGCUCCUGCUGCGUGGUGGGGGUUGGAAAGUUUCGGCGGUUGGGGAUGGACUCGCGGCUUAUCAGCUUGUUGGUGGGGUAGUGGCUUACCAAGGCUUUGACGGGUAGCCGGCCUGAGAGGGUGACCGGCCACAUUGGGACUGAGAUACGGCCCAGACUCCUACGGGAGGCAGCAGUGGGGAAUAUUGCACAAUGGGCGGAAGCCUGAUGCAGCAACGCCGCGUGCGGGAUGACGGCCUUCGGGUUGUAAACCGCUUUCGCCUGUGACGAAGCGUGAGUGACGGUAAUGGGUAAAGAAGCACCGGCUAACUACGUG